RNAcentral lists this ribosomal RNA (463 nucleotides) under uncultured bacterium. RNAcentral's name for it is "bacterial SSU rRNA". It matches the Rfam family "Bacterial small subunit ribosomal RNA", at positions 342 to 797 of the family's 1533-position model. The record is from RNAcentral.
CCGGAGGCAGCAGUAGGGAAUUUUGGACAAUGGGCGAAAGCCUGAUCCAGCCAUUCCGCGUGCAGGAUGAAGGCCCUCGGGUUGUAAACUGCUUUUGUACGGAACGAAACGCGCUGGGUUAAUACCCUGGCGUAAUGACGGUACCGUAAGAAUAAGCACCCGCUAACUACGUGCCAGCAGCCGCGGUAAUACGUAGGGUGCAAGCGUUAAUCGGAAUUACUGGGCGUAAAGCGUGCGCAGGCGGUGAUGUAAGACAGAUGUGAAAUCCCCGGGCUCGACCUGGGAACUGCAUUUGUGACUGCAUCGCUGGAGUGCGGCAGAGGGGGAUGGAAUUCCGCGUGUAGCAGUGAAAUGCGUAGAUAUGCGGAGGAACACCGAUGGCGAAGGCAAUCCCCUGGGCCUGCACUGACGCUCAUGCACGAAAGCAUGGGGAGCAAACAGGAUUAGAUACCCGAGUAGUCCG